RNAcentral lists this transfer RNA (82 nucleotides) under Achromatium sp. WMS2. It matches the Rfam family "tRNA". From Rfam's summary of the family: Transfer RNA (tRNA) molecules are approximately 80 nucleotides in length. The record is from Rfam by way of RNAcentral. Lineage: Bacteria; Pseudomonadati; Pseudomonadota; Gammaproteobacteria; Thiotrichales; Thiotrichaceae.
GGGCCUCUGGCGGAAUCGGUAGACGCGCCGCACUCAAAAUGCGGUUGGGAGACCAGUCCCGGUUCGAGUCCGGGGAGGCCCA